CUGGACAAGGGAAACAAAACACGGACAGUGUCUGGACAAGGGAAACAAAAAACACGGACAGCGUCUGGACAAGGGAAACAAAACACGGACAGCAUCUGGACAAGGGAAACAAAACACGGACAGCGUCUGGAUAGGGAAACAAAACACGGACAGCGUCUGGACAAGGGAAACAAAACACGGACAGCGUCUGGACAAGGGAAACAAAACACGGACAGCGUCUGGACAAGGGAAACAAAACACGGACAGUGUCUGGACAAGGGAAACAAAACACGGACAGCGUCUGGACAAGGGCAACAAAACACGGACAGUGUCUGGACAAGGGAAACAAAACACGGACAGCGUCUGGACAAGGGAAACAAAACACGGACAGUGUCUGGACAAGGGAAACAAAACACGGACAGCGUCUGGACAAGGGCAACAAAACACGGACAGUGUCUGGACAAGGGAAACAAAAGAACAUCAAUGCUGUCACGGGCAUCAAACUGAGGAAUAGACAGAUUUAAGGGAGGCAAUCAAUAAAGUGAUGGAGUCCAGGUGAGCCCAAUGAAGCGCUGAUGCGCGUAACGAUGGUGACAGCUGUGUGUAAUGAUGGGCAGCCUGGGAGGGGGAACGGGAGCAGGCAUGACAAGUAGGUUUUCCAGACCAUUAGUAAUUAUGUAAAUGCUGGAGUUGAAAUCUCAGUCCUUGACAUUAUAAUGAUGUAGAUUGAUAAUUAAUGGGAUAGAUUAUGCUUCUGCUAUUUUCUAUGUGGAUUUUGCCUUUUCCAGAUUUUUUAUAACAUAAAUAGCCGUCUUUUCUUGUGUACAUAUUUCUUCACUAUAUAUAGUUUAGACUUUUCCAGAUGUUUUUAUUACCUAAUGUUCUUUUCUCAGUGUCUAAUACGGAUAAUAUUGAUAACAGCUUUUGUAAUGUGUAUCGCUCUUGGACCAAGGUGCUCUUGAAAUGUACAAAUGAUCUACUUUGUAUUGUUGUCAGACAUUAUUGUGCAACAGCAUUCACGAACGUGAAUAUUAAUAACAUAAUCACACUUGUUUUCUUGUGACAUUAUUCAUUAUUACCUCCUUUAGAUAAAGUGUGAUUCAGUGUAAUGUAUGCAUCAUGUUGUAAAUUAGCUCACAAUAAAUACAAAAUAUUGUGUGAAUUA
This is a long non-coding RNA of Oncorhynchus tshawytscha (Chinook salmon), 1144 nucleotides long. The record is from Ensembl. NCBI's taxonomy places the organism in Eukaryota, Metazoa, Chordata, Actinopteri, Salmoniformes, Salmonidae.